GGCCAGACUCCUACGGGAGGCAGCAGUGGGGAAUAUUGCACAAUGGGGGAAACCCUGAUGCAGCGACGCCGCGUGAGUGAAGAAGUAUUUCGGUAUGUAAAGCUCUAUCAGCAGGGAAGAAAAACCGACCAUAGGGUCGCUAGACGGUACCUGAUUAAGAAGCCCCGGCUAACUACGUGCCAGCAGCCGCGGUAAUACGUAGGGGGCAAGCGUUAUCCGGAUUUACUGGGUGUAAAGGGAGCGUAGACGGCAGCGCAAGUCUGAAGUGAAAUGCCGGGGCUUAACCCCGGAACUGCUUUGGAACUGCGCGGCUGGAGUGCAGGAGGGGCAGGCGGAAUUCCUGGUGUAGCGGUGAAAUGCGUAGAUAUUAGGAGGAACACCGGUGGCGAAGGCGGCCUGCUGGACUGUGACUGACGUUGAGGCCCGAAGGCGUGGGGAGCAAACAGGAUUAGAUACCCUUGUA
RNAcentral lists this ribosomal RNA (463 nucleotides) under uncultured bacterium. Its description in RNAcentral is "partial 16S ribosomal RNA". It matches the Rfam family "Bacterial small subunit ribosomal RNA", at positions 329 to 792 of the family's 1533-position model. The record is from RNAcentral.